CUACGGGACGCAGCAGUGGGGAAUUUUGGACAAUGGGGGCAACCCUGAUCCAGCCAUUCCGCGUGAGUGAAGAAGGCCUUCGGGUUGUAAAGCUCUUUCGGCAGGAACGAAACGGUGUGGGCCAAUACCCUGCAUCAAUGACGGUACCUGAAGAAGAAGCACCGGCUAACUACGUGCCAGCAGCCGCGGUAAUACGUAGGGUGCGAGCGGUAAUCGGAAUUACUGGGCGUAAAGCGCGCGCAGGCGGUUGUGUAAGACAGGUGUGAAAUCCCCGGGCUUAACCUGGGAACUGCGCUUGUGACUGCACGACUAGAGUGUGGCAGAGGGGGGUGGAAUUCCACGUGUAGCAGUGAAAUGCGUAGAGAUGUGGAGGAACACCGAUGGCGAAGGCAGCCCCCUGGGUUAACACUGACGCUCAUGCACGAAAGCGUGGGUAGCAAACAGGAUUAGAUACCCUCGUAGUC
RNAcentral lists this ribosomal RNA (464 nucleotides) under uncultured bacterium. RNAcentral describes it as "partial 16S ribosomal RNA". It matches the Rfam family "Bacterial small subunit ribosomal RNA", at positions 339 to 795 of the family's 1533-position model. The record is from RNAcentral.